RNAcentral lists this ribosomal RNA (275 nucleotides) under uncultured Faecalibacterium sp. RNAcentral's name for it is "partial 16S ribosomal RNA". It matches the Rfam family "Bacterial small subunit ribosomal RNA", at positions 65 to 339 of the family's 1533-position model. The record is from RNAcentral. Lineage: Bacteria; Bacillati; Bacillota; Clostridia; Eubacteriales; Oscillospiraceae.
AGCGAGAGAGAGCUUGCUUUCUCGAGCGAGUGGCGAACGGGUGAGUAACGCGUGAGGAACCUGCCUCAAAGAGGGGGACAACAGUUGGAAACGACUGCUAAUACCGCAUAAGCCCACGGGUCGGCAUCGACCAGAGGGAAAAGGAGCAAUCCGCUUUGAGAUGGCCUCGCGUCCGAUUAGCUGGUUGGUGAGGUAACGGCCCACCAAGGCGACGAUCGGUAGCCGGCCUGAGAGGGUGAACGGCCACAUUGGGACUGAGACACGGCCCAAACUCC